GUGAAUAUCAGUUAGAAAUCUAGUUGUUCAUUGCAAAACUAAACCAGUUUAUAGCAGAAAUAAGCACUUGGAGGGAAAUGUUACAUUUUCACUGCAGGCCUUGAAUCCUUAGCCACCAGCUCCGUGUCCUUCAGUGUUCUGUGGUUCCUGGUUCCAGAGAGAUCACCUGCUCCAAUGUAACGAGUGAAGAGUUCUUUAGGUGAUGGCUGCUGGGCCCAGCUUUGCUGUUGUCUUUGCUGUCUUGUAAGCUUUGUGUCGCUCAAGUUCAGUUGUGUAUGAGUGUACUAACCACUGUGAGCUUCUCCAAGCAUGUGCAAGCAAUUUGAGAGGAGCCUAAUAUUUGCAAGGAAUUUGAGAGGAGCCUUUUAAGGAUGUUUUAUUGGCGGGGGUCAGGUGAGGGAGAUAACACGGGGGCAAGAAGGAAAGUUAUUAAUUCAUGGGAAACUACCAGCCCUUCAUCACCUAACUUGUGAUUUACAGACACUGAGCACAUUGCAGGUUGAGAAGGUGCUUGGUCCUUUUUGUAGCCUUAUGCUGUGCUCUUCAGAGACGUGAGUGUGCUGCUUUUUCUCACCAUUUUGUUUCUUGUAGAUUGUUUUCCUUGAUGCUGGAAAACAUUUUGAAGACAAGACUCUAAACAGUGACCUAUGCCACACUAGUUUAUUGGAAAAUGAGAAACUUACAUUACUGACAAGCUUGGAAGAUUCUUCAGUCCUGCAGUGACCUGAUGAUAUUGAUGAUGAAAUGUCUUACGAUGAUCAUUUAGAGGUUUAUUUCGAACAACUGGCAAUUCCAGGAAUGAUGGAAUAAAGCAUACGAAGUAGAAGGACUGGAACCUCCAGAAAAAGUACUUUAAGUUACCUACAGGUGAUCCUAGUCAGGUAUGAAUUGAUAAGAAAUGCCUGCACCUUCCCUCCUUCCUAUCUUUCCCUUGCCUACAGAAAAUUAAAAGGCAAAACAAUGGACAUCUACAUAUUCUUCAUUCAGAUCAACCAGUGGCUAGCAUUUGCCACCUUUUGCAGUUUCUUUCUCUUUCCAUAAGUACUUUCUUCUCUGAAUCAUUUGAAAGCAAAUGAAAACAGUAGCCUAAAGUGUCAGUUUCAACCCGAAAAUAACAGCUCUGAUUUCUCAUGGCUCACACUCGUCUGAAAUGACUCGGGUAGAGGCUGAGGAAGGCUGUGUUGUUUGUCUACCUGGGACUACACCUACUGAAAGAAGUUCUCAAGUUCUGAUUGAGUUCUAAAAUUCUUUUGAAGAUUGGAAUUCUUCAUAUGGCACCAUGGGCCGGCACUGCCACGUUUUCCAAGGAACCUGCCAGAGCUCCUGCGGAAGCUGCUCCUCGGGCGAUGGAGUCCCUUUGCUGCUAGGCCCUUCUUCAGUCACCACAGGAUGCCUGCCAUUCAUGAACAGGAAGGAGAGGACGGGCUUUGAAUAAAAAACAGGAUCCAGGAAAUAUUUGUGAGGCCAUUUGGACUUCAGUGUGAAAUGGUGUUAAAAGAUGAAGUCAUUUAUUCAAGAAGUAAACCUCUGCCACCUGGACUGUGCUCAGACAUUUCAUUGAUUUUGUUUAAUAAACAUUUUCUGGCUUUGG
This 1591-nucleotide long non-coding RNA is filed under the name Homo sapiens (human). Its description in RNAcentral is "HSALNT0331302". The record is from RNAcentral. Lineage: Eukaryota; Metazoa; Chordata; Mammalia; Primates; Hominidae.